UGGGAAUUUUGGACAAUGGGCGAAAGCCUGAUCCAGCAAUGCCGCGUGUGUGAAGAAGGCCUUCGGGUUGUAAAGCACUUUUGUCCGGAAAGAAAUCCUUGGCUCUAAUACAGUCGGGGGAUGACGGUACCGGAAGAAUAAGCACCGGCUAACUACGUGCCAGCAGCCGCGGUAAUACGUAGGGUGCAAGCGUUAAUCGGAAUUACUGGGCGUAAAGCGUGCGCAGGCGGUUUGCUAAGACCGAUGUGAAAUCCCCGGGCUCAACCUGGGAACUGCAUUGGUGACUGGCAGGCUAGAGUAUGGCAGAGGGGGGUUAGAAUUCCACGUGUAGCAGUGAAAUGCGUAGAGAUGUGGAGGAAUACCGAUGGCGAAGGCAGCCCCCUGGGCCAAUACUGACGCUCAUGCACGAAAGCGUGGGGAGCAAACAGGAUUAGAUACCCUGGUAGUCCACGCCCCUAAACGAUGUCAACUAGUUGUUGGGGACUUCAUUUCCUUAGUAACGUAGCUAACGCGUGAAGUUGACCGCCUGGGGAGUACGGUCGCAA
RNAcentral lists this ribosomal RNA (545 nucleotides) under uncultured bacterium. Its description in RNAcentral is "partial 16S ribosomal RNA". It matches the Rfam family "Bacterial small subunit ribosomal RNA", at positions 356 to 891 of the family's 1533-position model. The record is from RNAcentral.